AAAUGGACAACCCUUACCAGAAAAAUCCAAUUUAACACUUCUAUAACCAAACAAACCAGCCUCAACACCUGGAGCCUUCCUGCUCCCCAAGAUCAACACAUCUCCCAAUAACAAUUACUCAACUCUAAUAAUCCCACAACCAAGAAUAAGGACUAUUAAUAAUUUACUAUUAGACUUUCAGAGCAUAUCUAAAGUUGAACGAAAAACAACGAAUAAAGAAUAUGCGGAAGCAGCCUCUGACUAUGCCUCAACUCCAUGUACGCUCGACCUCCUUUAAAACUUAGCCUGCACACUGGGCAUUUGAAACCGAAGGGCCCAGGGAAAAGUAAUAUAAAAACGUUAGAGUGAGUGGACGAAAAAUAAACAAAUAACUGAUCGCAACAUAACUAACCAAACUUAAUUACUUUCCCAUUUUCUAAUAAUCAAGAAAUCUGUUGCAUGCAAGUGUUGAUAAAACCUUCAUAAGGAAAAUCCCAAAGAAACGGACUAGCCCCGCUAGUCAAAAUAUUGACAAAGAUAAAUACUAACCUUCAUUGAAGAAAAUACCAAAAUAAUGGACUAGCCCCGCUAGUCAAAACAACAAUAAAUAGUAAACCGAUUUAACCAUACAAGUGAGCCUCCCAGACUCAGUUGCCUCCCAGGCAAAGUACUCCCAUACUCCCUACACUUCCAUGUCAUGAUAACAGAGAAAGUACAGGGCUUGCGUGAUGUCGUCGACUACAUCACAUCACCCGAAGGCGGAAAGGGCUUGAUUAACCCCACUUAAAACGUGGAAGCUACAUCGUCUCGAAAGGCGGAACAACAUGCUAGCAUGAAUAAUAACGAUCCAACAAGUAUGGCAUAAAUAAAGAAACAUAAAUCCAUGUGAGUUUCCCCGAAACUCAUAACUUAAGCAUAAGUACGAUUCCCAAUCGUACUCAAAGAAUUCAAAGAGUAAAGAAAAUAAUUAAAUUCGAUGACGUGUCCCACACGUUAAAAUGCUCGAUGAAAUAAUUAAUUUAAAUAAUUUUCACCUUUCGAAAACCAGGCAAUAUGCAAAUCUGGAUAUAAUCUCAAAUCCGGAAAUCAUAAAGAAAAUCCAAACUUAAAUCUCAAAUUAUCAGUCCGAGCUCAAAUCCAUAAAUUAUGACUAACAUUUAAUCCAUGCAUCAAUCUCAAAUAAUUUCCAAGAUCAUUUCAUAUGCCGAAGUUAUAAUAUAUGCUCGGAAAAUAAAAUACUAAUUUAGAAAAUCUUGCAUGCAUAUUAAAUGAAAACCAAAAUGUCCACUCACAGAUUUAGGCCUAAGCCUGACGAAUUCCGAAUCACCACUCAAGUGGGGUCUCCUCGAAUCCUGGCACAACAACCAUGCUUAGGACCAAACUUUAAUUCCGGAAAAUAAUUACGUGAAUAAAAAUAUCUAACUCUCUUCCGUUUAACCCUCUACUGUUAUUAGGGUUAAACUCAUCGGUUUCACAUCAAACUCCACCACAACCUCAAAUCAUCAAUUCUAACAUUCCAGGCUAAAUACCAAGGAAAUUCAACGGCCGGAUUUUCAUUCUAAUAACCGGCAAAUCCUUAAUAUUUAAAAAAUCUCAAACCUUAACAAAACUCCUCCAAAAAAUUCAAACUAUACUUCAUUAGACUCCUCUCAUUAUAACAAACUCAAAAACCUGAAAAACAACCUCCAACUGGCGCCGCCGCCGCUGCCGGCCGCUUGCUUCGCCGGCAGCCGUACUCCGGCGGCGUCCAUUGCCUCCCAAAAUUUAACAGAAUAAUCCUCUCAUCAAGCACAACAACUUUCAUAACUAGCACUUAGUCCAAUUCUAAGCUUAACUAGGGUAAUCGAACCAAAACCUCCAUAAAUUCUUAGAAUUUCAAUUAAACAUAUCUCCACACCAAGAUCGAAUUAAGUCGAUUCCUUUUAAGGGAUCACUAACCUUGAUGAGAGCUACUAGAUGAGCCAAGUUUCACGAGCUAUGGUGGCCGGAGGUAGGAGCUCCGGCGAAGGAGCAGUCGGCAGCUCGGGCGGGAUUCCUCUCAAUCGGUGGCGUCCCAGGCACGGUCACCGGUCCAGAAUGAGAGAGGGGACAACAGGGGUCCGAACGGAGGUGUUCCGGCGGUCUGCAGUGGCCGGACGGCUGUGGCAGACGGAGCUGAAGUCUCCGGUGGGAGAGAGAGCUCGGGGGACUCGGGAGAGAAAGAAGAGAAGGGAGGAAGAGAGAGAGUGAGAGUUGGGCUUUGACCCACUCUUCACCCGGUCCAAACUUAAAACACCCACAAAAUAAAGCCUACUAGAAUUUACCUCUUUUUACCAAUAUAGUAACUUUCGUUUUUAGACCAUAACUUCUUUAUACGAACUCCGUUUUAAGCAUGCCGCGUGUCCACGAACUCCGUUUAACAUCCUCUACGACUUUCAUGAAGGAAGUUUUCCCGAAUUCCAAACGGAAGAAAAAGUCAACUUUUGGAGUCUUAAAUAGUAAACGGUUACUUAAAACGGUAAAAUGUCAAAGUAACCCAAAAGUAAAUAACCGCAAAUUGACUUAAGAACCGGGAUGUGACAAAUGUAAUAGAAUCUGAACUGGGAAUUUACUCAAUUUAGAAGUAUUCAUUUCACGAAGCUCAGGAACUUUGGAUCUUGAUCCCUUGAUUUGCCAAUUUCAAUUGAAAGUUGAAACGGGGGGAUUUUCAUAUACACCCAAUUUUGGAGAGUGGUUUUAAAUAAAACCCAUAUAAUAUUCCUUUCUGAUAGACAUCUAAAAUGUAUCAUAAUCUAAAAUGUAUCAAUUAUGAUACAUAUUAUGUCAUAUUUUUUCUAAAUUUUACACAAUUGCCACCAUUCAACUAUAAGAUAUAAACAUAAUAAAUAAGCUUAAUUGAUGUUUUCUUAAAUACCUUGAUUAUGAGUUUUUCUUUUAACACUAACAUUUUUCAAUCAAUUUGCAAGAAUCAUGAGGUUUCUUUAUUUUUAUGAAAAAGAUCUAGGUGAAAUGAAUACAUUCUAUGAUCUAUACAUAAGGUAAAAUAUAAUAUAAAUAAGAUAUCUGAUUAUUGGAGUACGUAAAAGGAAGAAAUUUUAUAGUGUUACCGUAAGCCCUAAGCCCUAAGCCCUAAACCCUAAACCCUAAACCCUAUACCCUAUACCCUAUAUCCUAAACCCGGCCUAUACUCUAUACUCUAAACCUAUACCCUAACCCUAUACCCUAUACCCUAAACCCUAUUACCUUAACCCCUAUACCCUAAACCCAAUUUUGGGUUUCUUCUUUUUAGGUAUAUUACCAUAUCAUGUCCUACUUAAUAGGUACAUUAGAAAUGUAAAUGUUCUCUCGAUCAUGAUGAGAAAUGAUAUAAUAAUAUACCUA
RNAcentral lists this long non-coding RNA (3339 nucleotides) under Fragaria vesca (wild strawberry). RNAcentral's name for it is "long non-coding RNA (FVES_LNC003086)". The record is from RNAcentral. Lineage: Eukaryota; Viridiplantae; Streptophyta; Magnoliopsida; Rosales; Rosaceae.